This 312-nucleotide ribosomal RNA is filed under the name Triticum aestivum (bread wheat). RNAcentral describes it as "partial small subunit ribosomal RNA". The record is from RNAcentral. Lineage: Eukaryota; Viridiplantae; Streptophyta; Magnoliopsida; Poales; Poaceae.
AUGGUUAAAAGUAAUAUGCACACAACUUUUCCCUUAGUUUACCGUCUGGUUGAGUUAGCAUUGAUUUUACCUGUUGCAACCGCAACUGUGGAAAGCGCAUUCUCAGCAAUGAGCAUUAUCAAGACCGGAUUGAGAAACAAAAUGGGUGAUGAUUGGAUGAACCAUAGAAUGGUAUGUUACAUUGAGAGUGAUGUAUUUGUUAGUAUCGAAGAAUCCAAGAUCAUUGAGCGAUUUCAAGGUUAUCGCACAUGUAAAGGUGUUUUGCCUCGUCCUACACGUAAGUUUUCACAUUUUGCAUCUAUUGUUAAUUAG